AUACGAACGAGACUCUAUCCUACUAAGCGGCGAGGCUAUUAGACGGCUGGAUCUUACGCAAGUGUGUUUAAAAUAGACAGGGAAGGACAACGCGAAGGAGCAAUCCGACGCUGCUUCCCUUCGAGCACACAAGUCCGCCGUGGCUGCGCGUUGGUUCGUGCGUGCCUGCGAAGUUUUGUGUCGGGGGAAAACGGGAAGAAAUUCUCUUUCUUCGGCGCAUAUAUCGCGUGGCGUGCGCGUUCUAGCGCGUAGACAAACGUUGUUUCUUCUUAGAGGUAUUGACGACUCUACAUAAGUCGUACGAGACAGAGAGCAAUAACAGGUCUGUGAUGCCCUUAGAUGCCCUGGGCCGCACGCGAGCUACAAUGCCGGGUACAGCGGGUCUUACAUCCUUCUCCGAAAGGAGCGGGUAACCCUCUGAAAGCCCUUCCGAUGUACGCUGUAGAUCGCUUGUCGCGUUCCUACACGAACAUCAUGGCUCGAUUGGGCCUGGGGUUUGCAAUUAUCUCCCACAAACGAGGAAUGCCUUGUAUUGGCUAGUCACUGAGCUUGCAGCGACUCAGUCCCUGCCCUUUGUACACACCCGCCCGUCGCUACUACCGAUUGAGUGUACCAGUGAGAUUCUUGGACUGGCGAACCUUCCUUCUGUACGGAGGUAACCUCCGAGAGAGAGAGGGCGAACGACGGGAAGAGACCCGAACUGGUGCCCCUAGAGGAAGUAAAA
RNAcentral lists this ribosomal RNA (724 nucleotides) under Leucothoe akaoni. Its description in RNAcentral is "partial 18S ribosomal RNA". It matches the Rfam family "Eukaryotic small subunit ribosomal RNA", at positions 1328 to 1787 of the family's 1831-position model. Lineage: Eukaryota; Metazoa; Arthropoda; Malacostraca; Amphipoda; Leucothoidae. The record is from RNAcentral.